UUGAAGCAGGUACGCCAGUAUUUGUGGAGUCGCUGUUGAAAUACGGCCCUUUGAUUAUUUGAGUUCUAACUCGUAGUUGCGAGGACACUGUUUGGUGGGUAGUUUGACUGGGGUGGUCGCCUCCAAAAUAGUAACGGAGGCUUCUAAAGGUGCCCUCAGGACGAUUGGUAACCGUCCGUAGAGUGUAAUGGCAUAAGGGCGCUUGACUGGGAGACUAACAAGUCGAUCAGGUAGGAAACUAGAGCAUAGUGAUCCGGUGUUUCCGUAUGGAAGGGACAUCGCUCAAAGGAUAAA
This 294-nucleotide ribosomal RNA is filed under the name Bacteroides thetaiotaomicron. RNAcentral's name for it is "partial 23S ribosomal RNA". It matches the Rfam family "Bacterial large subunit ribosomal RNA", at positions 2157 to 2460 of the family's 2925-position model. Lineage: Bacteria; Pseudomonadati; Bacteroidota; Bacteroidia; Bacteroidales; Bacteroidaceae. The record is from RNAcentral.